RNAcentral lists this ribosomal RNA (253 nucleotides) under uncultured bacterium. RNAcentral describes it as "partial 16S ribosomal RNA". It matches the Rfam family "Bacterial small subunit ribosomal RNA", at positions 524 to 776 of the family's 1533-position model. The record is from RNAcentral.
UACGGAGGGUGCAAGCGUUGCUCGGAAUUAUUGGGCGUAAAGGGUAGGUAGGUGGUCUCAUUUGUCAGGGGUGAAAGCCUUGGGCUUAACUCAAGAAGUGCCCCUGAAACGGUGAGACUAGAGUGCUGGAGAGGGUCGUGGAAUUCCCGGUGUAGCGGUGAAAUGCGUAGAGAUCGGGAGGAACACCAGAGGCGAAGGCGGCGACCUGGACAGUUACUGACACUCAACUACGAAAGCGUGGGGAGCAAACAGG